This is a long non-coding RNA of Struthio camelus australis, 670 nucleotides long. RefSeq lists it as uncharacterized. NCBI's taxonomy places the organism in Eukaryota, Metazoa, Chordata, Aves, Struthioniformes, Struthionidae. The record is from RefSeq and is a predicted model, not a curated record.
AGUAACGCCCUCAAGUAAAAGAGGCGCUGGGGCAGGGGAGGUUAGUAAGAACCGCGGGGAAGAGCCUCUGCGCUUCAUUACAGUUAAAAGAAAUUUCUUUCCUUAUAGCGUGCCUCGGCCUGAACGCCUGGCAGGGGUGUUCUCCGGCUCCCGCGACCUGGGGCCGCCGCGGGGUGCAGCCCCCAGCCUGGCUGCUGGAGCCUGGCCUAGCCCCCUUGCAGCAGUCCUGCUCCUUGAGCAGUCCAGCACGGACGAGCGCAGUGGUCAAACGCACGGGGAGAAGCACUUGGUGUCCCCAGUUGCAAGAUAUCACAGUUCAGUCAGGACAGAGAGCGUACAAGCAGUGUGGAGAGGAGGCUACCUCAUCCUAACGAGGUUCUGCAUUAUUAUGCUGUCAAAAACCCAACAUGUGAACUCCUAGGAAUGCGGACCUGCUCAUCUCUGGUUUGCAAUCCAGUGACAUUCCAAACAACAAGCACACGCAUGAAAUCCAAAUAAAGGUAUUUAUGGGUGUAAUGAGAGGGGCGUUUGGAGCAGAAGGUCUCCACUGUACCUUGCCUCCUGAGGGAAAAUGCAGUACACGUUGACGGCAGCGCAAGCCAACCAUGGCAGGAAGUGAAUGUAGCCUUUCAGUAUGAAAUGUCAAAAUGACUUUUCGUUGUCAGCCCGG